AAUAUGUAAUGAGAACCGGCUGAGUCUUCCUGCAGCUUUCUACACCACGCUAGAAGGGCUUGAAACAAGGUAAC
Molecule: long non-coding RNA, 74 nt
Organism: Etheostoma spectabile (orangethroat darter)
Lineage: Eukaryota; Metazoa; Chordata; Actinopteri; Perciformes; Percidae
Exons: 3
Source: RefSeq, a predicted model, not a curated record